GAUGGACGCUGGCGGCGUGCCUAAUACAUGCAAGUCGAGCGAACGGACGAGAAUCUUGCUUCUCUGAUUUUAGCGGCGUACGGGUUAGUAACACGUUUAUAACCUACCUAUAAUACUGGGAUAACUUCGGGAAACCGUAUCUAAUACCGGAUAAUAUUUUUAACCGCAUGGUUCAAAAGUGAAAGACGGUCUUGCUGUCACUUAUAGAUGUAUCCGCGCUGCAUUAGAUAGUUGGUAAGGUAACGGCUUACCAAGGCAACGAUGCAUAGCCGACCUGAGAGGGUGAUCGGACACACUGGAACGGAGACACGGUCAAGACUACUACGGGAGGCAGCAGUAGGGAAUCUUCCGCAAUGGGCGAAAGACUGACGGAGCAACGCCGCGUGAGUGAUGAAGGUCUUAGGAUCGUAAAACUCUGUUAUUAGGGAAGAACAUAUGUGUAAGUAACUGUGCACAUCUUGACGGUACCUAAUCAGAAAGCCACGGCUAACUACGUG
This 497-nucleotide ribosomal RNA is filed under the name uncultured bacterium. RNAcentral's name for it is "partial 16S ribosomal RNA". It matches the Rfam family "Bacterial small subunit ribosomal RNA", at positions 28 to 507 of the family's 1533-position model. The record is from RNAcentral.